GACGAACGCUGGCGGCGUGCCUAACACAUGCAAGUCGAACGGAACUGUUUUGAAAGAUUUCUUCGGAAUGAAUUUGAUUUAGUUUAGUGGCGGACGGGUGAGUAACGCGUGAGUAACCUGCCUUCAAGAGGGGGAUAACAUUCUGAAAAGAAUGCUAAUACCGCAUGACAUAUCGGAAUCACAUGAUUUUGAUAUCAAAGAUUUUAUCGCUUGAAGAUGGACUCGCGUCCGAUUAGUUAGUUGGUGAGGUAACGGCUCACCAAGACCGCGAUCGGUAGCCGGACUGAGAGGUUGAACGGCCACAUUGGGACUGAGACACGGCCCAGACUCCUACGGGAGGCAGCAGUGGGGGAUAUUGCGCAAUGGGGGCAACCCUGACGCAGCAACGCCGCGUGAAGGAUGAAGGUUUUCGGAUUGUAAACUUCUUUUAUUAAGGACGAAACUUGACGGUAC
Molecule: ribosomal RNA, 453 nt
Filed under: uncultured bacterium
Lineage: Bacteria
Description: bacterial SSU rRNA
Rfam family: Bacterial small subunit ribosomal RNA
Source: RNAcentral